Molecule: transfer RNA, 75 nt
Filed under: Mesorhizobium sp. L48C026A00
Lineage: Bacteria; Pseudomonadati; Pseudomonadota; Alphaproteobacteria; Hyphomicrobiales; Phyllobacteriaceae
Also listed under: 1 other name
Description: tRNA-Thr
Rfam family: tRNA
About the family: Transfer RNA (tRNA) molecules are approximately 80 nucleotides in length. Their secondary structure includes four short double-helical elements and three loops (D, anti-codon, and T loops). Further hydrogen bonds mediate the characteristic L-shaped molecular structure. tRNAs have two regions of fundamental functional importance: the anti-codon, which is responsible for specific mRNA codon recognition, and the 3' end, to which the tRNAs corresponding amino acid is attached (by aminoacyl-tRNA synthetases). tRNAs cope with the degeneracy of the genetic code in two manners: having more than one tRNA (with a specific anti-codon) for a particular amino acid; and 'wobble' base-pairing, i.e. permitting non-standard base-pairing at the 3rd anti-codon position.
Source: RNAcentral
CCGCUUUAGCUCAGUUGGUAGAGCACAUCAUUCGUAAUGAUGGGGUCAGGUGUUCGAGUCACCUAAGCGGCACCA